UACCUACGGGUGGCUGCAGUGGGGAAUAUUGGACAAUGGGCGAAAGCCUGAUCCAGCAAUGCCGCGUGAGUGAUGAAGGCCUUAGGGUUGUAAAGCUCUUUUACCAGGGAUGAUAAUGACAGUACCUGGAGAAUAAGCUCCGGCUAACUCCGUGCCAGCAGCCGCGGUAAUACGGAGGGAGCUAGCGUUGUUCGGAAUUACUGGGCGUAAAGCGCGCGUAGGCGGCCUAGCAAGUCAGGGGUGAAAUCCCGGGGCUCAACCCCGGAACUGCCUUUGAAACUGCUAAGCUAGAAUCCUGGAGAGGCGAGUGGAAUUCCGAGUGUAGAGGUGAAAUUCGUAGAUAUUCGGAAGAACACCAGUGGCGAAGGCGACUCGCUGGACAGGUAUUGACGCUGAGGUGCGAAAGCGUGGGGAGCAAACAGGAUUAGAUACCCCGGUAGUC
Molecule: ribosomal RNA, 442 nt
Filed under: uncultured Erythrobacteraceae bacterium
Lineage: Bacteria; Pseudomonadati; Pseudomonadota; Alphaproteobacteria; Sphingomonadales; Erythrobacteraceae
Description: bacterial SSU rRNA
Rfam family: Bacterial small subunit ribosomal RNA
Source: RNAcentral